UGAGUAACCUGCCCUGGACUUUGGGAUAACCCUCGGAAACGGGGGCUAAUACCGGAUAUGACGGCUCACCGCAUGGUGUGGUUGUGGAAAGUUUUUCGGUCUGGGAUGGGCUCGCGGCCUAUCAGCUUGUUGGUGAGGUAACGGCUCACCAAGGCGACGACGGGUAGCUGGUCUGAGAGGAUGGCCAGCCACAUUGGGACUGAGACACGGCCCAGACCUCCGUACGGGAGGCA
RNAcentral lists this ribosomal RNA (233 nucleotides) under uncultured bacterium. Its description in RNAcentral is "partial 16S ribosomal RNA". It matches the Rfam family "Bacterial small subunit ribosomal RNA", at positions 118 to 350 of the family's 1533-position model. The record is from RNAcentral.